GCAGAUAUUCAGUCUCUUGAAUUCUCCUGUGAACCAGUUUCACCAUCUUGAUGGCUCCCCAAUUAACAAGGGCAACAGAAGACCAUUGCAGAAGUUUUCUUGGCAUAUUAAAAUCUGCCCGCAAGAGAGUUUACCAGAAAAGGAAUCUCUGAGGUGAGGACCUGACGUCCACAUCUUUGCGUUGGAUGGCCAAAAUUUCUGAGAAACACUAAGCUGUGAGGUCUUCUGAGAAAUAAGCUGAUGUCACAGGGUUGGACGGACCUGUUGCCACAAGAUGCUAAUGCUCUGGAAACCUGCCAAAUGUAUUGCCUGUUUAAAAUGUACUCCAUAGAACUACCAUUUGAUCCAGCAAUCCCACUACUGGGUAUCUACCCAGAGGAAAAGAAGUCAUUAUACGAAAAAGAUACUUGCAGCUGGGAGUGGUGGCUCACACCUGUAAUCCCAGAACUUUGGGAGGCUGAGGUGGGCAGAUCACCUGAGGUCAGGAGUUUGAGACCAGCCUAGCCAAUAUGGUGAAACCCUGUC
This 525-nucleotide long non-coding RNA is filed under the name Homo sapiens (human). RNAcentral's name for it is "HSALNT0087965". Lineage: Eukaryota; Metazoa; Chordata; Mammalia; Primates; Hominidae. The record is from RNAcentral.